UGCCAGCAGCCGCGGUAAUACGGAGGGUACAAGCGUUAAUCGGAAUCAUUGGGCGUAAAGCGCGCGUAGGCGGUUUUUCAAGUUGGAUGUGAAAGCCCUGGGCUCAACUCAGGAAGUGCAUCCAAAACUGUAUAACUUGAGUACUGGAGGGGGUAGUGGAAUUCCCGGUGUAGAGGUGAAAUUCGUAGAUAUCGGGAGGAAUACCGGUGGCGAAGGCGACUACCUGGCCAGAUACUGACACUGAGGUGCGAAAGCGUGGGGAGCAAACAGGAUUAGAUA
Molecule: ribosomal RNA, 279 nt
Filed under: uncultured bacterium
Lineage: Bacteria
Description: partial 16S ribosomal RNA
Rfam family: Bacterial small subunit ribosomal RNA
Source: RNAcentral